Molecule: long non-coding RNA, 1017 nt
Organism: Fundulus heteroclitus (mummichog)
Lineage: Eukaryota; Metazoa; Chordata; Actinopteri; Cyprinodontiformes; Fundulidae
Exons: 3
Source: RefSeq, a predicted model, not a curated record
UUCCCGAGCAGUUUCGGAGAGUAAUUCAGGAAGCAGAUCAGGUGUGGAUUGCCAAAUGCCUUUAUGAACGAACAGGCCAGCUAAAACAAAGAUUCCAAGCCUACUGGUUUCACCCCCCACUGGAGCCCAAACCAUCUCCUCCUGAGCCUGGGUGGUACUACCGGCAGAGGCUGUUCAUCUGGGCACCAAUGAGGAUGUGGGGGAUUCUUUUAAAAUGCCCACAAUGUUCCCGGAAAAUCAACAGCUCUGGGAUCUACAGAAAGGUCAGGGAGGUGAUUGAUGUGGAUAGCCGCUACUACCUAGUGGGAGGGGACUAUCCACGUUGCAGCAAGUGCUCUCAGCCGAUCUGCCCAUGGAGCCAGGAUAUGCUCUCCCAGGUUGAUGUGGCACACAGGAUCUUGUUCCCAGCUGUCCUCACUACACAGCUGUCUCUGGACAGAAAAUGUAUGACUUUCCUGAAGCCAAGGACAAGUGGCAACAGUUCCUCCUACCUCCAGUCUGCAAUAGAGGAAGCGCACACCGAGGAGUGGGCACGGCAGACCAUCCGCUAACUCUCGGACUGUGAGCGCCAUAUGAAGAUGGCUACCUUCAUCCCCUCUGCAGCUGUUCUUCCACCACCACCACCCUUCAGGCCCCUUCCACUUGCUCAGUGGUUUGAGACAGUCCACUCAAAUGACAUCCUCAGCCACAUCGAGGAGAUGAAGGGAGUCAUCACUUCUACCUAUGGUAGAAUUCUGAAAAUGGACUCGACGAAGAAGAUCACCAAGAAGCUGGCUGGUGGGAUCGAGGACAGUGCUACAUGAAUGUCAAACAUCGGCAACGAGUUUGGCCAGGUGUUGAACUCCGUGCUGACGACAGGUGAAGGUGCAGGGUUGGAGGAGUUGUGCCAAGGCAUCGUCACCCGGUACAAGAAUGCGGGCCAAGCUGAACCUGAAGUCAUCUAUGUUGACAGAGACUGCUGCAGCCAGUCAGGUGUGUCUUUAUUGGCAAAGCUCUUUCACCCAUGGAGGUCUACGG